This is a long non-coding RNA of Ipomoea triloba (trilobed morning glory), 704 nucleotides long. RefSeq lists it as uncharacterized. The record is from RefSeq and is a predicted model, not a curated record. NCBI's taxonomy places the organism in Eukaryota, Viridiplantae, Streptophyta, Magnoliopsida, Solanales, Convolvulaceae. The transcript is spliced from 2 exons.
UCUCUUUAGAUGAUGAAGGCAGCUUUAUCAAUUAAAAGAGCUCGGCUCCGGUCUUCGUCAAUAACGCUGUCGACAUUAUAGUUCCCUUUAGGAGCAUAGGCGCACCCCUUGCUCUCAUAAUAUUAAGAUCGGUGGGUCUCCAUCUUCUGUUCGAACUAUCGAUAAAAGUUUAAGCAGCGACCUCCAGUAGACGUAGCAGCACCGAUUGGCGACAUCAGCAGGGGAAAAUUCCGCGAUGCAAUCCAACGACAAUAGCCCAAUGUUCGUUCUCUCUUCUUUGCUCUACAAGUUUGGCGGCAGUGUGCUAUUGAGGAGGAGGCAGCGUUGGCGGUUGACAGUUGAGCUGUCCGAUGAGGAACUCCGUCAACGACAGAAAUCCGUCUAAUCCGAGUAGAAACCCACUCUCGGGCGGCAUCAAUGAUACCGCGCUCCGGUGGUUGUUCUACCCGACAGAUUCUCUGUUGCUUCCUCCUUGGGUGAUUUGGGAGUGUUUGAGUUCAACAUGGAGUCAGUUUGUGACUACUAAGCUGAUAAUCACGUCGCGCCAUACAAGGGGAAAACACGGUGAUCGUUGAAUUUGGAUAGAGUCCUAAAUUUCAUGGAUUGUUUAAAGCUUACUGGUUUGUAUUGGAAUGGGAUGUCAGAUGUGUAUCAAGGAAAUUGGAUUUACAUAUUGGGCCAGAACAUAAAUUCAUUUUCGAUCA